Molecule: ribosomal RNA, 446 nt
Filed under: uncultured bacterium
Lineage: Bacteria
Description: SSU rRNA
Rfam family: Bacterial small subunit ribosomal RNA
Source: RNAcentral
AGAGCGAACGCUGGCGGCAGGCUUAACACAUGCAAGUCGAGCGGGCGUAGCAAUACGUCAGCGGCAGACGGGUGAGUAACGCGUGGGAACAUACCUUUUGGUUCGGAACAACACAGGGAAACUUGUGCUAAUACCGGAUAAGCCCUUACGGGGAAAGAUUUAUCGCCGAAAGAUUGGCCCGCGUCUGAUUAGCUAGUUGGUGAGGUAACGGCUCACCAAGGCGACGAUCAGUAGCUGGUCUGAGAGGAUGAUCAGCCACAUUGGGACUGAGACACGGCCCAAACUCCUACGGGAGGCAGCAGUGGGGAAUAUUGGACAAUGGGCGCAAGCCUGAUCCAGCCAUGCCGCGUGAGUGAUGAAGGCCCUAGGUUGUAAAGCUCUUUGUGCGGGAAGAUAAUGACGGUACCGCAAGAAUAAGCCCCGGCUAACUUCGCGCCAGCAGCCGC